GCGCCCCUGCCUGGUCUUGAGAAGUCAAAGGUCUCCAGGAGCCCUCCGCCUCCCUGUUUUUUAUUCACACACCCUAGCCUCACACGUUAGGAGUCUCCCCAACAGACCGUGAGCCGGUGUCGGGAGGGUGGAGGUGGAUGUAGCUCACCGCCACGCUACCACAGAAGAGCGAAAGCUGCUUUCUCAGCCACCGGAGAGCACGAAGAAGAAGAUAUACUGGCAACUUCUAGAAGGAUUCUACCAUUUUCUUCUUUACCAUGAACAAACUUGAAAAUUAAUGGCAGCAAGUUAAAAGGAGCAAACCUCUGUCUGCAUGAAAGAGUUUGAAGAAAAAGCAAAUCACCUCUCC
This 349-nucleotide long non-coding RNA is filed under the name Macaca mulatta (Rhesus monkey). RNAcentral describes it as "lncRNA (ENSMMUG00000052327.1)". The record is from RNAcentral. Lineage: Eukaryota; Metazoa; Chordata; Mammalia; Primates; Cercopithecidae.